Molecule: long non-coding RNA, 384 nt
Filed under: Brassica napus (rape)
Lineage: Eukaryota; Viridiplantae; Streptophyta; Magnoliopsida; Brassicales; Brassicaceae
Description: long non-coding RNA (BNAP_LNC001792)
Source: RNAcentral
CAGUAAAUCGCCAUUCUCUGUUGCAGUCCACUUUGUCUUCGGUUUAUGUGUCAAAAUCGCCAUAUUUAAUUCUCAGGAUCUCACCUUGGUUCUAAUAACCCUUCUUCGUUUAGGUGUCCUACUCUGAUACCAAUUGUAAAAUCGAGAUUCGGCGAAAACACAAGGUACAAAGUAGUUCCAAGAACACGUAUUUCUUUUGUUAGAAAUCUUUUACACAAUUUCUUAUAUAUUUGUUUGAUCAUAAUUACACAAUUCGACACAUAUCAAUUUUUCAUACACCUAACUUGCUUGACUCAACCUCUAAACCUCUAUUGGUCAAAUCUACCAAUUCACUCAGCUCAAUCCACUCAGCUAAAAAAUUCCAAAAUCUUAUGUACCUCUCUC